AUUGAACGCUGGCGGCAGGCUUAACACAUGCAAGUCGAGCGGGGUGAUGGUGCUUGCACUAUCACUUAGCGGCGGACGGGUGAGUAAUGCUUAGGAAUCUGCCUAUUAGUGGGGGACAACACCUCGAAAGGGAUGCUAAUACCGCAUACGUCCUAUGGCAGAAAGCAGGGGAUCACUUGUGACCUUGCGCUAAUAGAUGAGCCUAAGUCGGAUUAGCUAGUUGGUGGGGUAAAGGCCUACCAAGGCGACGAUCUGUAGCGGGUCUGAGAGGAGGAACCGCCACACUGGGACUGAGACACGGCCCAGACUCCUACGGGAGGCAGCAGUGGGGAAUAUUGGACAAUGGGGGGAACCCUGAUCUAGCCAUGCCGCGUGUGUGAAGAAGGCCUUAUGGUUGUAAAGCACUUUAAGCGAGGAGGAGGCUCUUUUGGUUAAUACCCAAGAUGAGUGGACGUUACUCGCAGAAUAAGCACCGGCUAACUCUGUGCCAGCCGCCGCCGUAA
Molecule: ribosomal RNA, 503 nt
Filed under: uncultured bacterium
Lineage: Bacteria
Description: partial 16S ribosomal RNA
Rfam family: Bacterial small subunit ribosomal RNA
Source: RNAcentral